GUUGAUUCCUCCUAUGAAGUUGCAUUCCAAGUUUUGAAAAAAUUGUAUCCGGAACAUUGUUGGUGGGAUCAUCUCUAACCACAUCAUCUUUAGCAAUCUUGACUCCACCUAGUUCGAGAAUAGAAACGACAGGUCGUCCCCACUUUCUUUNNNNNNNNGUAGAGAGAGAUGAGGAGCUAGAGAAAGGCACGGAGAAGUGAUUAAAGGCAUUUCUUCUUCUAUGGAGAAAGAGCGACGAUGUUCUGAGGGAAAAGAGAGUGUAGUGUGCAAGCGAAAACGCCGUUGCCAUGAUUCCCCACUUUCUGAGAGAGAAACAAGCUCUCAAACCAUAGAAAAUACUACAUUCAAUCCGCAGUCUCAAUGGGUUCUCAUAGAGACUCCAU
This 383-nucleotide unclassified non-coding RNA is filed under the name Hevea brasiliensis (rubber tree). Lineage: Eukaryota; Viridiplantae; Streptophyta; Magnoliopsida; Malpighiales; Euphorbiaceae. The record is from RNAcentral.